Molecule: ribosomal RNA, 349 nt
Filed under: uncultured soil bacterium
Lineage: Bacteria
Description: bacterial SSU rRNA
Rfam family: Bacterial small subunit ribosomal RNA
Source: RNAcentral
AGAACGAACGCUGGCGGCAUGCCUAAUACAUGCAAGUCGAACGAAGGCUUCGGCCUUAGUGGCGCACGGGUGCGUAACGCGUGGGAAUCUGCCCCUUGGUUCGGAAUAACAGUUGGAAACGACUGCUAAUACCGGAUGAUGACGAAAGUCCAAAGAUUUAUCGCCAAGGGAUGAGCCCGCGUAGGAUUAGCUAGUUGGUGAGGUAAAGGCUCACCAAGGCGACGAUCCUUAGCUGGUCUGAGAGGAUGAUCAGCCACACUGGGACUGAGACACGGCCCAGACUCCUACGGGAGGCAGCAGUAGGGAAUAGUUGGACAAGUGGGACGAAAGCCUAGGACUCCGAGACAAU